AACAAAAAAAAAAAAAAAACCCACCACCAAAACACCAAUGUAUGUCCGGUAGACAAUAUACCCAGACCUCUUUUUCAUCAGAGAAGUUGAGCUUGUGAAUAUCUAUCAAAAGUCGAUGUUUGUCCUGACAUUAUCUUCAUUACACCCUUGUUCACCUUUGGCCAGAAUCAGGAGAACCAUCUUCAUAAGACACCAGGCCCCUCUUUCCAUUAGGACUUCCUGAUGAUGACCUAGACCUGUCUCUGCUCACUCGUUUGGGAGACUGGGAGUCCAAUGACGACUGCGAUACUGAUGGGCUCCGGCUACAAGGAGACCUCUCAGCCUGUGGGGAGCCACGAAAUCUAGGUGCAUUAACUGGGGAAAGACUCUUAACUGGGCUACGACUAGGACUGUAGCGACGAUUACGGUAGCGAGGGCUUCGUGAUAACGACGGGCUCCUUGUUCUGCUUCUCCUGCCUCUGUAUCUGGGAGGAGUUCUUCCUCUUGGUGGGCUUCUAUACCGCCUAGGUGAAUACCUCCUGUAAUUUGAAUAUCUAGAAAGAAUCACCAACAAUUAAUGAGUAAGGCUGUUGACACUGACUUCAAAAUCUUAAAGAAAAAUGAAACGCAUGGUUAAACAUGGAAUCUUGAACCAUCAGAUAGCAAUAGACACGAGUAAGAAAUGUCAACCAAAAAAACAAGGUAAAAGUAUUGAUAAAUAAAAGGGCUCAAACUAGACACCUGUCACGGUCGCUUCUGCCGCUAUAUCGAUAUGAUCUAACAGGAGAGCGAUCUGGAGAAGGCGUUCUGUAUCGCCGAGCAUAAGAGUAACGUUGACUAAAACCACGCCCUCUUCUGAUGCGUUUGGGAGACCCAUCAGGGGAGACACUUCUUGACAAACUUCUUCGAUCAGGAGGAGAUCUUACCCUAUGUAUGGGGCUAGGGCUCCUUGAAUAGCUCCGUCGAUUGUUCCUGGUUGGAGCCCUAAUUGGACUUCUACUAGCACUUCUCCUCGAAGGAAUCCUACCCGAGCUUCUACUAAUGCUUCUGCGAGAUGAUCUAACUGGGCUUCUGCUUGCACCUCUCCGAUAAGACCUAACAGGGCUUCUGCUAAAUCCUCUUCGAGAGGAUCUAACAGGGCUUCUGCUAAUAGGUUUUCGUGAUGAUGCUCUAGGUGGGCUUCUGCUAAUAGAUUUUUGUGAUGAUGCUCUAGGUGGGCUCCUGCUCCUGCUCCUGCUUCUUGGAGGAGGGGAUCUCAAAGGGCCCCUGCUUGUGCUUCUUGGAGAACGGGAUCUCACAGGACUCUUGCUAAUGCUUCUAGCCCUUCUUCCCCUCACUGGACUUCUGCUGACACUUCUAGCUGGACUCCUGCUGCUACCACUUCUAGCAGGACUUCUGCUGAAACUCCUCUGCGAGAUACGUGGAGGACUCCUCCUCAUAGUUCUCCUCGGACUAACACUAGGGCUCUUGCUCAGACUCUUUCUGGGACUAAUACUCAUACUCUUACUCAUGGUCCUCUUGGGACUUAAGCUUCGGCUCCUAGAUUUGCCUGGAUGAUCAUCUACCACAUCAGGUAGUCUAUCUUCACUUCUGUCAGAUGUAGCAUCUGCCUCAAUGCCAUUGCUUCGCCGCCCUCCAUUUUCUUUGGGGGAUUCACCUUCUUCCUUUUCAAGCAUAACAUGUUCUUCCCUUAUUUUAUGGGAAAGGGAAGCAUCUUCUUCCUCCAAAACCAUAGGAGACUGAUCCCCAACAGUUUUCAAAGAAGGGUCUCUACGCCUUCGAGCUUUUGCCUGGACUUCAAGAGCAUCAUCAUCAGAGCUGCUUCCACUUUCACUCUCACUAUCACCAUCAGUAAGGCUAUCUGACACCCUUCUUGAUCGACGUUUGGAUCUCUUAUCACGUCUCUUUCGCCUUUUUUCACGCCGUUUAUCUCUUCUUUUUCCACGUCUAUACUUGUCUCUUUUAGAAGAUCUUUUUCUUUUCUUGCGCCUGUCAUCACUUGAGGAACUAAUCUCAGAAGAGGAGGAUAUAUACGAGUCAGAAUCACUAUCAGACUCAGAUGAUCCCAUAUCUGGAUCAGAUGAACUCUCUGACUCAGACGAAUCAUAUCUUUUUCUCCUCUUCUUUCUAUCUCUUGAAAAUUUCUUGUGCCUUCCCUUCUUACGUGCUUCAUGACUAUCAGAAUCAGAUAAAGCAUCCUUUCCAGUUUUCAGUUUAUGUACUUUCUUCUUGUCCACACCCUCAAAUUCACCACAAUUGAUUAUUUUUACAGUUACCAAUGGCCUCCCUUCUUCAUCACCUACACUUUCAAUCUUUUUCAGCACUUCAUCUCCUUGCACAAGCUUCCCAAAGACUACAUACUUCCUAUCAAGAUGAUGAUUAGCCUUAAAGCUAACAAUAAAAUGAGAACCAAAAGUGUCACGAUCAGCAAUUGACAUUGACAGAAGACCAGGACCAUCAUGCUUAAGCCUUGGAGUCUCAUCUGGAAACUUUCCCCCAUAUAUGCUCUCCCCGCCAGACCCAUCGCGUUUAACAAAAUCACCACCCUGCAAGACAACCACAAACUAUUAGUCUACUGGUAAGCAGAAACAUACAUGUGUUUAAAAUUCGGCAGGACACUAUAAGCAUAGUAAAUUUUGAGGAUGGACAACUCAGUAAGUACAACCUUAAAACUACAUCACAAGAAAAGCAGUCGUGACCAUCAGCCCUGUGUCCUACAGCAUAAACAAGGGUAACUGACAGACCACUUCUAAGCCACGAUGAACAAGAAAACUAAGCACAUAAGCAAAUUUAGAACCACCCUACAUAAUGAACAUCUUAAUGUACACAAGAUAUAAAAACAAACCUGAGCCAUGGAACCCUUAAUAAUGCUAUGGAAAAAUGACCCUUUGUAAUGCAACGGCUUUCCAGUUUUAGGACCAAUUCCCUUCUCCCCUGAAGAUGUGCAGAUAAAAUCAGAAAAACUGCUAAUUGACUGGAAAUAUUACUUUGAAUAAUCAAUACCCACCUCCAUUAUUUAAAUACCAAUCAAAAUUAGGUAGCUGAAAAUUUUGCAUAAGAAUAAGGCUUGGCGUCCAAAAAAGCUAUCAUACUAUCAAUCAUCAACAAAACUUGCAUAUACAAGACAACCAUUGCAAGAAAAGACAUCAUCAAAAAACUAAUUUAGCACUUAUUUAUCACCUGUACAAAGGGCACGGAAAUUUUCUGCAGUCUUGGGAGCAAUAUCAGGGAAAAGCUCAAAAGCCAUCCUUUCACAAGGAUCACCAUCAAUGGACACGUCCAUAAAAACCAAUGGAUUCUUCUUUUUUGCCAUCUUCUACGUUCCCCC
This 3307-nucleotide unclassified non-coding RNA is filed under the name Hevea brasiliensis (rubber tree). The record is from RNAcentral. Lineage: Eukaryota; Viridiplantae; Streptophyta; Magnoliopsida; Malpighiales; Euphorbiaceae.